RNAcentral lists this transfer RNA (69 nucleotides) under Urocitellus parryii (Arctic ground squirrel). Its description in RNAcentral is "Spermophilus parryii (Arctic ground squirrel) tRNA". It matches the Rfam family "tRNA". Rfam says of the family: Transfer RNA (tRNA) molecules are approximately 80 nucleotides in length. Their secondary structure includes four short double-helical elements and three loops (D, anti-codon, and T loops). Further hydrogen bonds mediate the characteristic L-shaped molecular structure. tRNAs have two regions of fundamental functional importance: the anti-codon, which is responsible for specific mRNA codon recognition, and the 3' end, to which the tRNAs corresponding amino acid is attached (by aminoacyl-tRNA synthetases). tRNAs cope with the degeneracy of the genetic code in two manners: having more than one tRNA (with a specific anti-codon) for a particular amino acid; and 'wobble' base-pairing, i.e. permitting non-standard base-pairing at the 3rd anti-codon position. RNAcentral also lists the same sequence under 2 other names. Lineage: Eukaryota; Metazoa; Chordata; Mammalia; Rodentia; Sciuridae. The record is from Rfam by way of RNAcentral.
GGAUUUGUAGCUCUGUGGUAGAGCACUUGCCUGGCAUGUGUGAGGCCCUGAGUUUGAUCCUCAGUACCA